GUCGCGCGGUCAGCAAUGGCAGCGGCGGACGGGUGCGUAACGCGUAGGAACGUGUCUAGAGGUGGGGGACAACCCUGGGAAACUGGGGCUAAUACCGCAUAUGGGCUGAGGCCCAAAGCCGUGAGGCGCCUUUGGAGCGGCCUGCGUCCGAUUAGCUAGUUGGUGGGGUAAAGGCCUACCAAGGCUCCGAUCGGUAGCUGGUCUGAGAGGACGAUCAGCCACACUGGGACUGAGACACGGCCCAGACUCC
Molecule: ribosomal RNA, 250 nt
Filed under: uncultured bacterium
Lineage: Bacteria
Description: partial 16S ribosomal RNA
Rfam family: Bacterial small subunit ribosomal RNA
Source: RNAcentral